This 427-nucleotide ribosomal RNA is filed under the name uncultured bacterium. RNAcentral describes it as "bacterial SSU rRNA". It matches the Rfam family "Bacterial small subunit ribosomal RNA", at positions 355 to 775 of the family's 1533-position model. The record is from RNAcentral.
UGGGGAAUAUUGGACAAUGGGCGAAAGCCUGAUCCAGCCAUGCCGCGUGGGUGAAGAAGGCCUUCGGGUUGUAAAGCCCUUUUGUUGGGGAAGAAAUCCUGCUGGCUAAUACCCGGCGGGGAUGACGGUACCCAAAGAAUAAGCACCGGCUAACUUCGUGCCAGCAGCCGCGGUAAUACGAAGGGUGCAAGCGUUACUCGGAAUUACUGGGCGUAAAGCGUGCGUAGGUGGUGGCUUAAGUCCGUUGUGAAAGCCCUGGGCUCAACCUGGGAAUUGCAGUGGAUGCUGGGUCACUAGAGUGUGGUAGAGGGUGGCGGAAUUCCCGGUGUAGCAGUGAAAUGCGUAGAGAUCGGGAGGAACACCCGUGGCGAAGGCGGCCACCUGGGCCAACACUGACACUGAGGCACGAAAGCGUGGGAGCAAACAG